CAUUUUUUAUUCGUAGCUGUAAUUAUUAUUUUUUCAACACAAUUGUUGAUUUAAGGGCUUGUAAGUAAAGCAUUUCACUGUUCGGUGCGCUUGUGACUAAAUUUGAUUAGACGGCUUGAUGUACAGACACACCCCUGGACAGGACACUAGUCUGUUUAUUCUAGAACAGGAUAUGUAUUGUGGUAUUUAUUUACUAAUAUCUAUCCCUCCUCUAGGUAGGAGUGGGCAGCAAGGCCAAGUGGGACCUGGGUGUGGCCUCGGAGAGGGUUGACCGGCAGGCCCGGGUCAAGCUGAGUCCUGAGAGCGGUUACUGGACCCUACGACUGAGAGAGGGAGACCAGUACUCUGCAGGCACACAGCCCUGGACACGGCUUCAGGUCGGGUGGUCUCCCCAGAGGAUAGGGGUGUUCCUGGACUGUGAUGAGAGGAAGGUGUCCUUCUAUAACGCUGAUGACAUGAGUCUCCUGUACUCUUUUAGUAACGGCCCCAGAGGCAGAGUUCUGCCGUUCUUUAGCCCCUGUGUCAAUGAUACGAACCAGAAACCACAGCCCAUACAGCUGCUGCACUAUCCUCCUGUUGACCUGACCUGUUAGGACAGGUGUGUCAAUGAUACGAACCAGAAGCCACAGCCCAUACAGCUGCUGCACUAUCCUCCUGUUGACCUGACCUGUUAGGACAGGUGUGUCAAUGAUA
Molecule: long non-coding RNA, 693 nt
Organism: Salvelinus sp. IW2-2015
Lineage: Eukaryota; Metazoa; Chordata; Actinopteri; Salmoniformes; Salmonidae
Source: RefSeq, a predicted model, not a curated record